CUGGCCGAUCGGUCGUCGUCGUCGGUACGGUGGAUUUUUGUAAAUUUUAGAAUUAAAGUAGAAAGGCAAUUGUUUAUGACAAACGCGUAGUUGUGCGCAUUGGUUUAAGCGAAAAGCUAGAUCCCUAAGGACCCACACACACGAACAGAUAAAGAUGUUCAAUUUUAUGAAGAAAAGCGCCGGCGAUGAAGAGAAGGAGCGUCGCAAGCGCGAAAAGAAACUGCGCAAAGAGGCUAAAGGUGGCAGCGGUGGUGGGGUAACUGGCAGCAUGAGCACCGAUGAACUGCUGCGUCUGGAGGAGGUGCGUCGAUCGCUGAAGAUACGGGGCCGCCGCAAGGAGAAGGAAAAACUGCCCAGCGGCAUAACAGCGGACUACAGUGCAGAUUUCUUUGCGGCCCUCAAUGCCGAUGCAGCCAGCGGCAACGCGAAUGGGAAUGGAAAUGGCAAUGGAAAUGGAAAUGGCGGCCCAGAGCAGGAUCGUGGCAAUGAGGAAAUUGUAGCAUCUGUGAUGACACACAUCGAGAGUCGAAGCGCCGCCAACGAAUCUCUUAUCUUGAACUAUGGCGAGGUUACACAUUCCCUGCUCUCGGGCGGACUGAAGAAUCGAUUUUUGCCGCCGGUGCCGCCAAAGCCGCCCAAGCGUGGCAUUUUGAAGGGUUCGCGCAGCAACAUGAGCAACGUUCACGAAGAGAUUGUCUUCACCGGUGGCGGCACUCCCGAAAUGCUGAUGCGCAACACCAUGCAAAAUGAGCAGCUGUUUGAGGGCAACCGUGGCGGCGGCAGCGGUGGCUCCAAUUCCAGCCAACAUGGCACCUCGUUCACCUCCGUGGAGAGCCUGCGGAGCGACGGCGAUCAUCCGCCGCAGCAGCGCGCCAUGACCCUGCCGGCGAACGCGCGCUAUGGCGCACCACAGACGCCCACGCAGGCUGCCCAUUUGCAUGUGCUGACAUCACCGUCACCGAGUGCCGACAGUCUCACAGAUACCACAAACUCCUCCUUUGCCACGCCUCCAUUCUCGCUGAGUCCAGUGGGCGAAUCGCAGGGCAUCGAUCGCUGGGCCCGUGUGCACGCCUUUGAGGAUGUGCAGCUGCCAUUGCCACCGGUCCAGCUGGUGCAGCUGCCGCCGCCUAGGCAGCUGGUCAUCAAACGGCAGAAAUCACCGCGGCAUGACUUCGGGUUCAGUCUGCGCAAAGCCAUUUGCUUGGACCGCACCGAGUCGCUGAUGUCGCCCAUCUUUCGACCAGUGAUCUUUGCGGAGCCUGGUGCUGGGGGUGGCGCCACGGGCCUGUUACCUGGCGAUCGUUUGAUCAAGGUGAAUGGCACGCCCGUGGGCGAUUUAUCGCGCGAGAUCAUCAUCGAGAUGAUACGCAACAGUGGCGAUGCUGUCACCGUCGAGGUGCAACCCGUAGCUGAGCUAGUGGAGUUGAGCAAGCGCUGCAUGGCGCCCAGCACGGCCACCGUUGAAGAGAUCGAUCAUUCCAUUAACAACGGCAACUGCAACACUCUCCGUCGCAGCGCCAGCAAGCGCUUCAAGCGUCAGAGUCGGCACGAGAACGGUACGGACGGCUUUUUUGGCAAAAGCGAUAGCGAUGUGGACGUAGUCGACGACGCCUCGCAGCCGGAACGUGUGUGGCUGGUGCAUCGCGGUGGCUUUACGGCAGCGCUGCGUCUGCCACCCGGCGACACGGCGCAUGAGGAGCAUAAGCUGAACGUGCGAUUGCUGCAUAAUGGCGAGCAGUUGACCGUGGACGAGGAUGACAUCGAGAAGCAGAACAGCCCCGCACUGGACUUGGUUGAGGACAUCUGUGAGCUGAAGUAUCUGAACGAGGCGUCUGUGCUGCACUGCCUCCGACAGCGAUAUGCCAGCAAUCUGAUACACACCAAGGCGGGGCCCACGCUGCUCGUGGUCAAUCCAAUGGCACCCCUGUCGCUCUACUCUGAGAAGGUUGUAUCCAUGUUUCGCGGCUGCAAAACGGAGGACAUGCCGCCCCACGUCUACUCGCUAGCCCAGACCGCCUACAGGAGUUUGGUUGAAACGCGACGCGAUCAAAGUCUAAUAUUCAUGGGUCGUUCUGGUUCUGGCAAGACCACAAGCUUUAAGCAUGCGCUCAACUACUUGGCGUUGGCUGCUGGUGCAUACAAUAAUUUUAUUAAUGCGGAAAAAGUUGGUGCAUUGUGCACAAUUUUGGAAGCCUUUGGUAAUACGAGAACAUGUCUGAAUUCGAAUGCGACGCGUAUGACGCAGCUGCUCAGCUUGGACUUCGAUCAGACCGGUCAAAUAGCAUCAGCCUCUUUGCAGGUGCUGCUGCCGGAGCGACAACGUGCGGGUCGCAGGCUUGCGCACGAGCACAGCUUCCACAUUAUGACGCGACUGUUGGCUGGCGCCGCCGGUCUGCUACAGAAAGAGCUGCAUUUAGAGAACAUCUCGUCUGAGGACAGUCAUCCAUUUAUAUCGCUUUCGCAGCGAUUGGAAGAUCGUCAUCGGGCGGCCAAUGACUUUUUGCGUACGGUGCAAGCAUUUGAGACACUCAACAUUGAUACCAAGGCUGUGCGGGGUAUCUGGAGUAUACUGGCAGCUAUUUAUCAUCUAGGCAUUGCGGGUAUCACUCGAAUGGGCACCGGGUCGACGGCUCGAACGCAGUUUGCGAAUCCGACAGCAGCACGGAAGGCGGCCAGUCUGUUGGGCGUCAAUCUUGAGGAUUUAUCGGCAGCUGCAUUCGGUCUUACGCAGCCCAAUGCGACAGGCGCCAGCUUGAGUCCCUCUAAGUCGCCCACUUCGGAUGGCGGUCAGGACUGGGCCUGGGAAUGUCUUGAAGCACUCGUCAUUGGCCUUUACUCGGAGGCACUGGCCGCUGUGGUGGCUCUGAUAAAUCGCCAGAUCUGCACUUCAGCUCAUACUAUUGCUUCAAUAAUGCUCAUCGAUACACCAGGCUUCCAAAAUCCAGCCAGCUGCGGCCAACAAGUGGGCGCCACACUGGCAGAUCUGCGUCACAACUAUCUGCAGGAGCGACUCCAAAUGCUGUUCCAUCACACAACAUUGGUGGCGCCACGAGAUCGCUAUGCCCAGGAGCUGGUGGAGAUCGAAAUGGAUCAUGCUUCCGACUGUCAUCCGGGCCCGCUGAUAUCCCUGAUUGACAAGGCUCCACAGAAUCAUGUGGUGCGAUCUUCACAGCGCGAUCUGCGCGAGCAUGAUCGUCGUGGCUUGCUCUGGCUAUUGGACGAGGAGGCCAUAUAUCCAAACUCAAACGACGACACAUUCCUAGAGCGUUUAUUCUCACAUUACGGCGAUCGUGAGCAUCACACGCUGUUGCGCAAAUGUGCCGGACAGCGCCAGUUUGUGCUGCACCAUCUGCAGGGCACCAACCCGGUGCUCUAUGCUGUCGAUGGCUGGGUGCGAAACAGUCGCGAGCAUCCGGGCAUACGGAACGCAGUGUCGCUGCUGCAGGACAGCAGUCGCGAAGAGAUAAAUCGUCUCUAUAUUGGCUCACUGACGCGCGGCUCUGGUGCCAUGGUGUUUUGCGGCUCGUUCGCAGGCCUGGAGGGUACACAGUCAUUGCGUCGAGUGUCCAGCAUCCGGCGUUCCUUCACUACGGCGGGCGUCAAGCGUAACUCAAUUAUGCUGCAGGUGAAGUUCACCGUAGAUGGCAUAAUUGAUACGUUGCGCCGCACGGGCACCCACUUUGUGCACUGCUAUUUGCUGCAACACAAUGCGGGAAAGCAUACCAAGUUCUCGGCGAAUGGGUCGCCCAACACGGCGCUGGUUCAAGCUGCUACCGAGGAGGAUUUGGUAAAUGUGCCACUGUUAAGGAGUCAGCUACGUGGCUCACAAGUUUUAGAGGCCGCUCGGCUGCAUCGCCUCGGCUUUCCCGAAUCUGUGCCAUUAGUGGAGUUCGUGCGUCGCUUCGGUCUGCUUGCAGCUGAUUUGUCGAGCAAUAAAGAUGUUACCGUGGAACAAAUACUCGCUGUCAAUGAACUGGACGUUGCCAGCUAUCGCAUUGGACCAAGUCAAAUUCUCUUCCGAUCCGGCGUACUCAAUGAGCUGGAAGCUAAACGAGAUGUACUGCUAUCGGAUCGCAUUAUACAGCUGCAGGCAUUGUGUCGUGGUUAUUUGGCACGCAAGAAGAUGUCACAGCGCCGUGUACAGGAGCUGGCAGUGCGUUGUAUUCAGCGUAAUGUGAAGGCCUUUCUGGCCGUGCGGGAUUGGCCUUGGUGGCGUUUGCUGGUGCGUGUGACGCCUCUACUCAAUGUACACCGCACCGAGGAGCAGCUGAAGAUCGCCAACGAGGAGCUGAUCAUGCUGCGCGCCAAGCUGGAGAAGAUCGAGUACGAUCGCAGCGAAGUGAAGAACGAAAAUCAGAAAUUGGAAGCCAAGUUAUCCGAACUGACUGUUGAUCUGGCGGAGGAGCGCUCUACAGCUCAUAUUGCCACCGAACGCUUGGAAGCGGAGACUGCCGAACGCCUAAAGCUCGAAAAGGAGCUCGGGGAGAGCCAGGCGAAAGUAAAGAACCUGCAGGAGAUGAGUGAGAAACUGGAAAUGGAGUUGAUAUGCGCCAAGUCCGACUUGAAUGGCAUCUCCGAGGAUGAAGAUGCCGAGCACGAAGAGGGUGCCGGUGGAGUUUACAAACUGAAGUACGAACGCGUGGCCAGAGAACUGGAGUUCACGAAGCGCCGACUACAGACGCAACAUGAGCACGAUCUGGAACAGCUGGUCGGGCUUAAGAAGCAAUUGGAGAAGAAGCUUUCCGAUGCCUACGAAGAAGUUGAGGAACAACGUCAGGUUGUGGGCCAAUGGAAACGCAAGGCUCAAAAGAUGACCAACGAGAUGAAUGAUUUGCGCAUGCUGCUCGAGGAGCAAAAUGCACGAAACAAUUUGCUGGAGAAGAAGCAGCGCAAAUUCGAUGCCGAGUGCCAAGCCCUGCAGGAUGCAGCGCGCCAGGAGCGCCAGGCUAAGGAACGGUACGGACGCGAAAAAGAUGUGCUCCAAGCCGAGAAAUUCACGCUCGAACAAACACUUGCGGAUACGCGUCUAGAUUUGGAGCUGAAGGAAGAGAAAUUGGCGUCCUUGCAGCGUGAGCUAGAGGAGAUGACCUUUGGUGGCGGCACCGAGGAGGAGUUUGCCCAGCUCCGACGUUCUAAGAACGAAAUGGAACGUCGUGUUAAGGAGCAGGAGGAGGAGCUGGACGAAAUGGCUGGACAAAUACAGCUGCUGGAGCAGGCCAAGCUGCGGCUUGAGAUGACCCUAGAGACCAUGCGGAAGGAGGCGCGUCGUGAGUCUCAGCAGCGCGAUGAAGAGUUAGAGGAGGUGCGUGGCAACGGCUACAAGAAGAUCAAGGCGCUUGAGUGCCAGUUGGAGACGGAGCACGAGGAGCGCACAUUGCUACUGCGCGAAAAGCACGAGCUAGAGCGACGGCUGUCAUCCAUGGAAGAUCGCGAUCGUGUCGAUCGUGAUGCCGAAGAGGCACUGAAUCAAAAAUUGCGUCGCGACUUGCGCAAGUACAAGGCAUUGCUGAAGGAUGCUCAGACGCAAUUGGAGCGACAGAAGGCAGAUACUCCGGGCAAGACGCUCAUCCGACAGCUGCGCAAUCAGCUGGAGGACGCGGAAUCGGCUCGCACACUUGCCAUGAAGGCGCGACAGACAGCCGAAGCUGAGUUGGCCGAGGUGCAGGCCAUGUUCGAGGAGUCACAUAGAGCUCGCAACGAUGCCGAGGAGCGCGCCAAUGCGGCACACCGCGAUCGCGCUGAACUGCAGGCGCAGAUCGAGGAGAACGAGGAGGAGCUGAGCGAGCUUAUGAAGAAGUACAGCGCCACCGUCAAGCAGCUCAACGCGGAGCAAGUCAACGUAUCCGAAUCGGAGUUUAAACUGACUGAACUCGAAGCAGAGCGUAACAAUCUCAAAGAGCAGGUGGCUGAUUUGCAGCACCGAUUGGACAAUGUGGAGAACUUGGGUGAUCCGAGCAUAGCUGUAAUGUCCAAGCGUUUGGAAAUGCGCACCAAAGAGCUGGAGUCCCGCCUGGAACUAGAGCAGGCGACACGCGCGCGUCUUGAGGUGCAAGUGAGCCGUCAUAAGGAGGCGUUGGAGAAACUCCAGAACGAAGUAACUCAAUCAAAGCUGCGUGAAAUGCAAUCACAGGAAAUGCUCAAAAAAUCUCAAAAGAGUUUGCGCGACAUACGCGAGGAAUAUCACGCGCUGUCCAGUCGUGAGCAGGAGUCGUUGACGCGUCGCAAGGACUUGGAAAAGAAAAUGGAAGUCAUGGAAUCCGAGGGCUUGGCAUUGAAGAACGAUUUACGCCUGGCGCUGCAACGCAUCGCGGAUCUACAGCAGGCCAUGGAGGAGGAGGGCGAGGAGGAGUUAAGCGAGAGCGAGGAUAGUAUGAGCUCGGUGGGCUCGGUGAGCGACUUGGAAGAGCGACUGCGACCCGUGCAUGUAAAGCGGAGCUCACAGCAGUCAUUAAACGGACCCAUUAUCCCACCAAGCACCACACGCACGCUGAUCUGCGAAAAGGACGACAACAGCCCUAGGUACGCUGAUAACGAAGUCAACUCAAACAGCAGGCAGCACAAGCACUAAGCACCGUAGUCGCAUUAGCUCGAUAAUACUUAUGCAUAUGUAUAACUAUCACUAGUUAGUUAGCUAGCUAGCUAGCUACUUAGCUUGUAAGAAUAACAGUGACGUCGCCAUCGUCGCCACAUAUUCACAAACUGGCACUGGCGGCUAAAGCCAUACCGGACCAAAAACCGGACACGAAAUCUU
This 6751-nucleotide unclassified non-coding RNA is filed under the name Drosophila mojavensis. RNAcentral's name for it is "GI10098". The record is from RNAcentral. Lineage: Eukaryota; Metazoa; Arthropoda; Insecta; Diptera; Drosophilidae.